CUUUUAAUCCUCAAGUACAGCAGUAGUAGAGAAGAGGAACAGAGACAUUUAAGAUGCUCCUCCAAAAACAAAAGAAAGGGGGAGCCAAAGGCAACCCUAGAGAACUUGUCAAUCUAGCUCUUUAUACUAUUUCUUGAUUUUUGACAAGGUGCAUUGGCUCUGGCAGGCAGGUUUUAUAACCCACCGGAAGGGCAGUGUCCAGUGCGAGCAGCUCCACUAUCUAAAUAAUCGCCAGGUGAUGUGGAGAGGCCCAGAAAGUGGUGAA
Antechinus flavipes (yellow-footed antechinus) is the source of this 265-nucleotide long non-coding RNA. RefSeq lists it as uncharacterized. The record is from RefSeq and is a predicted model, not a curated record. NCBI's taxonomy places the organism in Eukaryota, Metazoa, Chordata, Mammalia, Dasyuromorphia, Dasyuridae. The transcript is spliced from 2 exons.